GAUGAACGCUGGCGGCGUGCCUAAUACAUGCAAGUCGAGCGAACGGACGAGAAGCUUGCUUCUCUGAUGUUAGCGGCGGACGGGUGAGUAACACGUGGAUAACCUACCUAUAAGACUGGGAUAACUUCGGGAAACCGGAGCUAAUACCGGAUAAUAUUUUGAACCGCAUGGUUCAAAAGUGAAAGACGGUCUUGCUGUCACUUAUAGAUGGAUCCGCGUUGCAUUAGCUAGUUGGUAAGGUAACGUCUUACCAAGGCAACGAUGCAUAGCCGACCUGAGAGGGUGAUCGGCCACACUGGAACUGAGACACGGUCCAGACUCCUACGGGAGGCAGCAGUAGGGAAUCUUCCGCAAUGGGCGAAAGCCUGACGGAGCAACGCCGCGUGAGUGAUGAAGGUCUUCGGAUCGUAAAACUCUGUUAUUAGGGAAGAACAUAUGUGUAAGUAACUGUGCACAUCUUGACGGUACCUAAUCAGAAAGCCACGGCUAACUACGUG
This 497-nucleotide ribosomal RNA is filed under the name uncultured bacterium. RNAcentral's name for it is "partial 16S ribosomal RNA". It matches the Rfam family "Bacterial small subunit ribosomal RNA", at positions 28 to 507 of the family's 1533-position model. The record is from RNAcentral.